RNAcentral lists this long non-coding RNA (318 nucleotides) under Mus musculus (house mouse). RNAcentral describes it as "RIKEN cDNA 1700085D07 gene". The record is from RNAcentral. Lineage: Eukaryota; Metazoa; Chordata; Mammalia; Rodentia; Muridae.
ACAACAUGAGGAACUGAAUUAAAUGGUUACAGAAGUUUGAGAACUACUGGUUCUAUGGUAUAAUGCUGAAACGUCCUCCCACUGGCAGAUGUGUUUGAACACCUGGCUCCCAGCUAAUGCUGGCUUGUUUUGGGAGCCUGCAGAACUGUUUGGAGAUGGGACCUAAGUGGAAAAGGAGGUCACUAGGACAGGUCGUGGUCGAUUGGUUCCAGUCUACUUCCUGAUGCUACAGACAGAGCUACUUCCACUACCGUUCCUUUUCUACAACAUGGCCCGACCCCUUGAAACCACAAACCAUAAUAAAUCCUUUCUUCCUGC